RNAcentral lists this transfer RNA (84 nucleotides) under Penaeus monodon (black tiger shrimp). RNAcentral's name for it is "tRNA-Leu". It matches the Rfam family "tRNA". From Rfam's summary of the family: Transfer RNA (tRNA) molecules are approximately 80 nucleotides in length. Their secondary structure includes four short double-helical elements and three loops (D, anti-codon, and T loops). Further hydrogen bonds mediate the characteristic L-shaped molecular structure. tRNAs have two regions of fundamental functional importance: the anti-codon, which is responsible for specific mRNA codon recognition, and the 3' end, to which the tRNAs corresponding amino acid is attached (by aminoacyl-tRNA synthetases). tRNAs cope with the degeneracy of the genetic code in two manners: having more than one tRNA (with a specific anti-codon) for a particular amino acid; and 'wobble' base-pairing, i.e. permitting non-standard base-pairing at the 3rd anti-codon position. Lineage: Eukaryota; Metazoa; Arthropoda; Malacostraca; Decapoda; Penaeidae. The record is from RNAcentral. RNAcentral also lists the same sequence under 13 other names.
GUCAGGAUGGCCGAGCGGUCCAAGGCGCUGCGUUCAGGUCGCAGUCCGGUCUUCCGGGCGUGGGUUCGAAUCCCACUCCUGACA